This 364-nucleotide long non-coding RNA is filed under the name Fukomys damarensis (Damara mole-rat). Its description in RNAcentral is "lncRNA (ENSFDAG00000022122.1)". The record is from RNAcentral. Lineage: Eukaryota; Metazoa; Chordata; Mammalia; Rodentia; Bathyergidae.
CUCAAAAGGCAAAAGUAACUGUGAACAAAAAGUCUUAACGUCUACCUCCUUCUACCCAAAAGCAUUUCCGUUUCCUCUGAUGGAAGGUAGAUUCACUCAUUGGGAAAAGAUAUGAAUGACCUCUAAAUCAGCAGAUUUAACAAGUGCAUGCUCACACCUGAACUGCUUUCAGAGUGCCGGGAUUAGAGGUGCGCACCACCACAUCCUGCUACCUCUACAAUGCUGACUGACUGACUGGCACCUCCAGCAGGUAUGCAGGUAUCAGCCAUUUAAGUUUCCUGUGAGUUUGGAUCUUUACCUAGAAAAAAUAUAUACUUGGAAAUGCUUACACAAAAUUUAAAAGACAUACUGAAAAAGGAAAGAG